GACGAACGCUGGCGGCGUGCUUAACACAUGCAAGUCGAACGGAAAGGCCCUGCUUUUGUGCGGUGCUCGAUUGGCGAACGGGUGAGUAACACGUGAGUAACCUGCCCUUGACUUUGGUAUAACUUCACGAAACUGGGGCUACUACCGUAUAGGAGCUCCUGCUCCAUGGUGAGGGUUGGAACGUUUCGGCGGGUGGGGAUGGACGGGCGGCUUAUCAGCUUGUUGGUUGGGUAGUGGCUUACCAAGGCUUUGACGGGUAGCCGGCCUGAGAGGGUGACCGGCCACAUUGGGACUGAGAUACGGAGCAGACUCCUACGGGAGGCAGCAGUCGGGAAUAUUGCACAAUGGGCGGAAGCCUGAGGCAGCAACGCCGCGUGCGGGAUGACGGCCUUCGGGUUGUAAACCGCUUUCGCCUGUGACGAAGCGUGAGUGACGGUAAUGGGUAAAGAAGCACCGGCUAACUACGUG
RNAcentral lists this ribosomal RNA (468 nucleotides) under uncultured bacterium. RNAcentral describes it as "partial 16S ribosomal RNA". It matches the Rfam family "Bacterial small subunit ribosomal RNA", at positions 28 to 507 of the family's 1533-position model. The record is from RNAcentral.